This 678-nucleotide ribosomal RNA is filed under the name Inocybe nitidiuscula. RNAcentral's name for it is "eukaryotic LSU rRNA". It matches the Rfam family "Eukaryotic large subunit ribosomal RNA", at positions 1 to 653 of the family's 3401-position model. The record is from RNAcentral. Lineage: Eukaryota; Fungi; Basidiomycota; Agaricomycetes; Agaricales; Inocybaceae. RNAcentral also lists the same sequence under 1 other name.
UUGACCUCAAAUCAGGUAGGACUACCCGCUGAACUUAAGCAUAUCAAUAAGCGGAGGAAAAGAAACUAACAAGGAUUCCCCUAGUAACUGCGAGUGAAGCGGGAAGAGCUCAAAUUUGAAAUCUGGCGGUCCCUUGGGCUGUCCGAGUUGUAAUCUAGAGAAGUGUUACCUGUGCUGGACCGUGUACAAGUCUCCUGGAAUGGAGCAUCACAGAGGGUGAGAAUCCCGUCUUUGACACGGACUGCCUGUGCGAUAUGGUGCGCUCUCGAAGAGUCGAGUUGUUUGGGAAUGCAGCUCAAAAUGGGUGGUAAAUGCCAUCUAAAGCUAAAUACUGGCGAGAGACCGAUAGCGAACAAGUACCGUGAGGGAAAGAUGAAAAGAACUUUGGAAAGAGAGUUAAACAGUACGUGAAAUUGCUGAAAGGGAAACGCUUGAAGUCAGUCGCGUCGGCUGGAAAUCAGUCUUGCUUCUGCUUGACGUACUUUCUGGUUCGACGGGUCAGCAUCAGUUUUGACCGCUGGAUAAAGUCGUUGGGAAUGUGGCAUCUUAGGAUGUGUUAUAGCCCGUCGUCGCAUACGGUGGUCGGGAUUGAGGAACUCAGCACGCCGCGAGGCCGGGUCGUUUCUGCGAUCACGUUCGUGCUUAGGAUGCUGGCAUAAUGGCUUUAAUCGACCCGUC